GUGACCUACGGGGGGCAGCAGUGGGGAAUAUUGGGCAAUGGGCGCAAGCCUGACCCAGCAACGCCGCGUGAAGGAAGAAGGCUUUCGGGUUGUAAACUUCUUUUCUGAGGGACGAUAGUGACGGUACCUCAGGAAUAAGCCACGGCUAACUACGUGCCAGCAGCCGCGGUAAUACGUAGGUGGCAAGCGUUAUCCGGAUUUACUGGGUGUAAAGGGCGUGUAGGCGGGAUGGUAAGUCAGUUGUGAAAACUAUGGGCUCAACACAGAGCCUUCAUUUUAAACUAUCGUUCUUUAGUGUUGG
Molecule: ribosomal RNA, 301 nt
Filed under: uncultured bacterium
Lineage: Bacteria
Description: bacterial SSU rRNA
Rfam family: Bacterial small subunit ribosomal RNA
Source: RNAcentral